UUAAUCUUACAAUUUCAGUUACAUUGUCCUUAAAUUGACUUGGUAAAGCCUAUUUUCUUGCUUCUAUUCAAUAUCUUUUACAGCAUCCUUAGCAAGCCUUGUCACAUAUGCUGCCGCUAUAGCUGUGGCCAACAAUCCCAGCCCAAGAGUCAACAGUGAAUUGUUCCCACCGGUUAAUCCAAUAUCAUCUUCUUGGAUUAUUGCACGGCCAAAUGCGCCAGCACUCACAUAUGCCCAUGUUCCUGGAAGCAUUCCCAACCAACUUCCCAGAACAUAUGGGACAAACUCAACAGAUGUCAAUCCAUACAAAUAAUUCCCCAGGGAAAAUGGAA
RNAcentral lists this unclassified non-coding RNA (332 nucleotides) under Hevea brasiliensis (rubber tree). Lineage: Eukaryota; Viridiplantae; Streptophyta; Magnoliopsida; Malpighiales; Euphorbiaceae. The record is from RNAcentral.